UCAACAACGGAUCUCUUGGUUCUGGCAUCGAUGAAGAACGCAGCGAAAUGCGAUAAGUAAUGUGAAUUGCAGAAUUCAGUGAAUCAUCGAAUCUUUGAACGCACAUUGCGCCCU
This 114-nucleotide ribosomal RNA is filed under the name Cadophora melinii. RNAcentral's name for it is "5.8S ribosomal RNA". It matches the Rfam family "5.8S ribosomal RNA", at positions 6 to 119 of the family's 154-position model. From Rfam's summary of the family: 5.8S ribosomal RNA (5.8S rRNA) is a component of the large subunit of the eukaryotic ribosome. It is transcribed by RNA polymerase I as part of the 45S precursor that also contains 18S and 28S rRNA. Functionally, it is thought that 5.8S rRNA may be involved in ribosome translocation. The record is from RNAcentral. Lineage: Eukaryota; Fungi; Ascomycota; Leotiomycetes; Helotiales; Ploettnerulaceae.